GUUCAAAACAAACAUUGCAUUAUUGAUCAAAGAAUUGUAGACUAAUGUUAUUUUAUAUUUUUUAAGAGUAAAACGCAUGUACACUAAUAUUGCCCUGUUACUAAUUAUGAGAUUUUCAGGUAAGUUAUUGAGCUAUUUCUGUUUGAUUUGUUAGGAGAUUAGUUUUGUCCGUUUACAAGUUAACCUUGCUUGUGUUAUUCUUGGCAAGUAAUCAUUUCUUAUACAAAUUUUUGUACACUAUAGGCUUAUUAUUUAAAUUUUAGGUAGCGUGUGGAGAUUUCAUCUUAUGUUCAUGAGCGCACAACGUAUAAAAUCAUAAUAAAUGUUUUCUGCUGGUGUGUAGCAGUUAACCGCAUUUAAGUAAAAAUAUUUUGAAAUAAUUGUUACCAGAGCUGAAUUACAUUCAGGCUUGUGGAGAACAGCUUUUUUUUAUCUACUCUUUGGCUGGCCAAUGUAAAUAAGCAAUUAUUUCAUGAAUGCAGCGAGAGAGUUUAUUUGAUGUAUUUUAAAAUCACUGAUAAUAUUUAUUGGUGUAUUUUAAAAUCACUGAUAAUAUUUAUUGGUGUAUUUUAAAAUCGCUGAUAAUAUUUGUUUUGUGGCUGGAAGAUGGUAACCAUGGUGACUUGUGAAUUUUUAUGAAGGAUUAAUAAAAAGCAGUAAAAAUUA
Bacillus rossius redtenbacheri is the source of this 666-nucleotide long non-coding RNA. RefSeq lists it as uncharacterized. Lineage: Eukaryota; Metazoa; Arthropoda; Insecta; Phasmatodea; Bacillidae. The record is from RefSeq and is a predicted model, not a curated record. The transcript is spliced from 2 exons.